CUGUUGUCUUAGAAACUUUAUUUCUGCAAUGUGAUUCUCAGUUUACUGUUUUAUUGGGGAUGUUAAAGUUAUGUAUCUUGAGCCUAACUCGAGGUGAGAUUGUCCAAGUCAUAUUAAAGAGACCAUCCAUCCAUUAAAGGGCUGGUUUGGGACUCUUCAUGCUCAUUUCACGCCCAGUACUUUUUAUAAAACUCUAUUAGCAUCUCCAGUUGAGGAUUUAUUGUUCUAUAAAAGUAUCCCAAACUAGUUCCCCUACUGUUUGUGAUGUCACUUCAUUCUUUUAUAAUUUCAACCUCUCUUUGUUUUUACCUAUGGUAGGAAAUUGUGUAACGUUACCCUAGUUAAGUGGAUUUAAUUAGAUACAAGGAGGUCCAUCUUAGAAAUUCUGCUUGAAGUUGGUGCAGAUUUAACUAAUAUAUUGAGCCAGCUGGAAGAGUGGCAGUUAGCAGAAGGGGGAGAGAUCUGAUGUGGAUAACUCCUAACACUUUCUGGUCCCAACUCUGAAAGAUAUGUGGUACAAUUGUACAAGUAUGUUGAGUACAAGUAAAGCAUAUCACAAUUAGAUCUUACCUCUGAUGCAAGUUGUUACUAGCAUUGGUGAAUAAUGUAAUCUUUGACAAUAAGUUAAUAUUUGGGUGCUGCAGCCUUGCAUUUUGUUCCUCAUUAAA
Solanum lycopersicum (tomato) is the source of this 668-nucleotide non-coding RNA. NCBI's taxonomy places the organism in Eukaryota, Viridiplantae, Streptophyta, Magnoliopsida, Solanales, Solanaceae. The record is from RefSeq and is a predicted model, not a curated record.